This 255-nucleotide ribosomal RNA is filed under the name uncultured bacterium. Its description in RNAcentral is "partial 16S ribosomal RNA". It matches the Rfam family "Bacterial small subunit ribosomal RNA", at positions 521 to 776 of the family's 1533-position model. The record is from RNAcentral.
UAAUACGUAGGGGGCAAGCGUUAUCCGGAAUUAUUGGGCGUAAAGAGUGCGUAGGUGGUUACCUAAGCGCAGGGUUUAAGGCAAUGGCUCAACCAUUGUUCGCCUUGCGAACUGGGCUACUUGAGUGCAGGAGAGGAAAGCGGAAUUCCUAGUGUAGCGGUGAAAUGCGUAGAUAUUAGGAGGAACACCAGCGGCGAAGGCGGCUUUCUGGACUGUAACUGACACUGAGGCACGAAAGCGUGGGGAGCAAACAGG